Molecule: ribosomal RNA, 490 nt
Filed under: uncultured bacterium
Lineage: Bacteria
Description: partial 16S ribosomal RNA
Rfam family: Bacterial small subunit ribosomal RNA
Source: RNAcentral
AUUGAACGCUGGCGGCAGGCCUAACACAUGCAAGUCGAACGGUAACAGGAAGAAGCUUGCUUCUUUGCUGACGAGUGGCGGACGGGUGAGUAAUGUCUGGGAAACUGCCUGAUGGAGGGGGAUAACUACUGGAAACGGUAGCUAAUACCGCACAACGUCGCAAGACCAAAGAGGGGGACCUUCGGGCCUCUUGCCAUCGGAUGUGCCCAGAUGGGAUUAGCUAGUAGGUGGGGUAACGGCUCACCUAGGCGACGAUCCCUAGCUGGUCUGAGAGGAUGACCAGCCACACUGGAACUGAGACACGGUCCAGACUCCUACGGGAGGCAGCAGUGGGGAAUAUUGCACAAUGGGCGCAAGCCUGAUGCAGCCAUGCCGCGUGUAUGAAGAAGGCCUUCGGGUUGUAAAGUACUUUCAGCGGGGAGGAAGGGAGUAAAGUUAAUACCUUUGCUCAUUGACGUUACCCGCAGAAGAAGCACCGGCUAACUCCGUG